UGCAUAUCACAAAAGCGGAGGAAAAGAAACCAACAAGGAUUACCUCAGUAACGGCGAGUGAAGCGGUAACAGCUCAAAUUUGAAAUCUGGCCUCUCUGGGGCCCGAGUUGUAAUUUGUAGAAGAUGCUUUGGGUGUGGCUCUGGUCUAAGUUCCUUGGAACAGGACGUCAUAGAGGGUGAGAAUCCCGUAUGUGGCCAGUGGCCUUCGCCCUUGUAAAGCUCUUUCGACGAGUCGAGUUGUUUGGGAAUGCAGCUCUAAAUGGGUGGUAAAUUUCAUCUAAAGCUAAAUAUUGGCCGGAGACCGAUAGCGCACAAGUAGAGUGAUCGAAAGAUGAAAAGCACUUUGGAAAGAGAGUUAAACAGUACGUGAAAUUGUUGAAAGGGAAGCGCUUGCAACCAGACUCGCAUGCUAUUGAUCAUCCGGGGUUCUCCCCGGUGCACUCGGUAGUCUACGGGCCAGCAUCGGUUUGGGUGGUAGGAUAAAAGCCAUGGGAACGUAGCUCCUCUCGGGGAGUGUUAUAGCCCUUGGUGCAAUGCUGCCUACCUGGACCGAGGACCGCGCUUCGGCUAGGAUGCUGGCGUAAUGGUUGUAAGCGACCCGUCUUGAACCCCCGGACCA
RNAcentral lists this ribosomal RNA (619 nucleotides) under Lachnum sp. GL2 D. RNAcentral's name for it is "eukaryotic LSU rRNA". It matches the Rfam family "Eukaryotic large subunit ribosomal RNA", at positions 37 to 668 of the family's 3401-position model. The record is from RNAcentral. Lineage: Eukaryota; Fungi; Ascomycota; Leotiomycetes; Helotiales; Lachnaceae.